CUGCCCCGGCUUCUAUCUCACUAAACAGUGAAUACAUCUGUUAACACAAAAAGGAGUACGACGAACAACUCUGCAGUCUUUUGUUGGCUUUGGAUGAUAUUGUCCAAGAACAUUUGUAAUUUUCUACCUACCGGUCUCCUCUUUAGAGCACCCAAUUUCAAUAUUUAGCUAAGUGCAAACAUGUGAAUGUAUGUCAAUAUUAUCAUCUAUGAGAAGCUCAAGAGAGACAGACACUCAGACAGAAGGUGGUUGAAUAAGAGAACCGACUCCGGUACAGAAAUUUAAUUAGAAAAUGCCAAAAUGUCAGUAACUCUUAUAAAAGCUUGUUAUGUAAUCUUAAAAGGUUCGGCAUAGUAUUUAUUAUCAUUAAUGAUUUUUCAAGUUCAGUCGGGUCACGCAGCUCGAGAGAUAUAAAGAAGAGUCAAAAAGAAAGGAGGGCGAAGGAGUCAUAAAAGUGAAGAUGGAUAGAUAGAUAGCAGUGAGCAUCAGAAAUAAUGCAGCAGAGAAAUGCAGAGAAAGUGAACAAGUGUAUAACGGCCUUCCUGGCCUUUCCCUGCAAUAAAAAUUAAAUGUUUUAAACAGACGUAACAGCUACAGCUUUUCCUCUACUCCUUUGUGUUUCUUUUCUUCUUCUACCCCAUGUCCCCAUUCCAUGUGACUCGCCCUUCACUUACCAUAAAGCUGAGCAUGCAUGCGUGAGAGAGAAGAUCCCAGUCACUUGUGAAUUGUGAUUCUAAAUUUUUAAUACUACUGUGUCAGCUGUAAUUAAAGCAUAUAAAAUUAAUGCUAAUUUUACUUAAUCCUUAUCAGAUAUACAGGAUUUUGCUCUAAAUCAGAAUUGUUUUUAUUUCUUCAA
Long non-coding RNA from Daucus carota subsp. sativus, 856 nucleotides. RefSeq lists it as uncharacterized. The record is from RefSeq and is a predicted model, not a curated record. Lineage: Eukaryota; Viridiplantae; Streptophyta; Magnoliopsida; Apiales; Apiaceae. The transcript is spliced from 2 exons.